AGCCCCGUACACAAAAGCGCAUGUGCUGUGAGCUCGAUGAGUAGGGCGGGACACGUGGUAUCCUGUCUGAAUAUGGGGGGACCAUCCUCCAAGGCUAAAUACUCCUGACUGACCGAUAGUGAACCAGUACCGUGAGGGAAAGGCGAAAAGAACCCCGGCGAGGGGAGUGAAAAAGAACCUGAAACCGUGUACGUACAAGCAGUGGGAGCCCCACCACCAAAGCAUUCUCUGGUGUUGAAGGCCCUGCAAAGCAGCAUCGCGGUGGCGGAGCGUCGUUUGCGACGCCCGACACACAAAACAAGCGGUGAGUGCUUUGGGGUGGGGUGACUGCGUACCUUUUGUAUAAUGGGUCAGCGACUUAUAUUCUGUAGCAAGGUUAACCGUAUAGGGGAGCCGGAGGGAAACCGAGUCUUAAUUGGGCGUUAAGUUGCAGGGUAUAGACCCGAAACCCGGUGAUCUAGCCAUGGGCAGGUUGAAGGUUGGGUAACACUAACUGGAGGACCGAACCGACUAAUGUUGAAAAAUUAGCGGAUGACCUGUGGCUGGGGGUGAAAGGCCAAUCAAACCGGGAGAUAGCUGGUUCUCCCCGAAAGCUAUUUAGGUAGCGCCUCGUGAAUUCAUCUCCGGGGGUAGAGCACUGUUUCGGCUAGGGGGUCAUCCCGACUUACCAACCCGAUGCAAACUGCGAAUACCGGAGAAUGUUAUCACGGGAGACACACGGCGGGUGCUAACGUCCGUCGUGAAGAGGGAAACAACCCAGACCGCCAGCUAAGGUCCCAAAGUCAUGGUUAAGUGGGAAACGAUGUGGGAAGGCCCAGACAGCCAGGAUGUUGGCUUAGAAGCAGCCAUCAUUUAAAGAAAGCGUAAUAGCUCACUGGUCGAGUCGGCCUGCGCGGAAGAUGUAACGGGGCUAAACCAUGCACCGAAGCUGCGGCAGCGACACUGUGUGUUGUUGGGUAGGGGAGCGUUCUGUAAGCCUGUGAAGGUGGCCUGUGAGGGUUGCUGGAGGUAUCAGAAGUGCGAAUGCUGACAUAAGUAACGAUAAAGCGGGUGAAAAGCCCGCUCGCCGGAAGACCAAGGGUUCCUGUCCAACGUUAAUCGGGGCAGGGUGAGUCGACCCCUAAGGCGAGGCCGAAAGGCGUAGUCGAUGGGAAACGGGUUAAUAUUCCCGUACUUGGUGUUACUGCGAAGGGGGGACGGAGAAGGCUAUGUUGGCCGGGCGACGGUUGUCCCGGUUUAAGCGUGUAGGUGUGUGUUCCAGGUAAAUCCGGUUCACUUUAACACUGAGGCGUGACGACGAGGCACUACGGUGCUGAAGCAACAAAUGCCCUGCUUCCAGGAAAAGCCUCUAAGCAUCAGGUAACAUCAAAUCGUACCCCAAACCGACACAGGUGGUCAGGUAGAGAAUACCAAGGCGCUUGAGAGAACUCGGGUGAAGGAACUAGGCAAAAUGGUGCCGUAACUUCGGGAGAAGGCACGCUGACACGUAGGUGAAGUGAUUUACUCA
This 1507-nucleotide ribosomal RNA is filed under the name Salmonella enterica. RNAcentral describes it as "partial 23S ribosomal RNA". It matches the Rfam family "Bacterial large subunit ribosomal RNA", at positions 369 to 1773 of the family's 2925-position model. Lineage: Bacteria; Pseudomonadati; Pseudomonadota; Gammaproteobacteria; Enterobacterales; Enterobacteriaceae. The record is from RNAcentral.